UCCAGAACUUGAGAUAUGGGUUGAAUACUGAACAAUAUCUGAGCUACAGAACAGAUUCAAACUUCUCUUUUAUUGUUAAGAUUUGAACUUGAAAACGACAGCUUUGAAUCUUGGACUCUGCAUAAAUGUUUUAUGUUUAUGUCUCAGCUUUCCAUC
Non-coding RNA from Populus trichocarpa (black cottonwood), 156 nucleotides. The record is from Rfam. Lineage: Eukaryota; Viridiplantae; Streptophyta; Magnoliopsida; Malpighiales; Salicaceae.